CCUACGGGAGGCAGCAGUGGGGGAUAUUGCACAAUGGGGGCAACCCUGAUGCAGCGACGCCGCGUGAGUGAAGAAGUCUUUCGGUAUGUAAAGCUCUAUCAGCAGGGGAGAAAAUGACAGUACCUGACCAAGAAGCCCCGGCUAACUCCGUGCCAGCAGCCGCGGUAAUACGCGGGGUGCAAGCGUUAUCCGGAUUUACGGGGUGUAAGGGGAGCGUAGACGGUUAUGUAGGUCGGGAGUAAAAGCCCGGGGCCCAACCCGGGACUGCUUUGGAAACUGUUUAACUGGAGUACAGGAGGGGCAGGCGGAAUUCCUGGUGUAGCGGUGAAAUGCGUAGAUAUCAGGAGGAACACCGGCGGCGAAGGCGGCCUGCUGGACUGAAACUGACGUUGAGGCUCGAAAGCGUGGGGAGCAAACAGGAUUAGAUACCCCGGUAGUC
Molecule: ribosomal RNA, 439 nt
Filed under: uncultured bacterium
Lineage: Bacteria
Description: partial 16S ribosomal RNA
Rfam family: Bacterial small subunit ribosomal RNA
Source: RNAcentral